CUGAUUGAGGCGCGGAGAUCAUCAGUACCCCUGGUCCGGGACAGGCAUCCCGUGGGGGAAAGGGAAAUCCGCCGAAGGGCCGCGAAAUGCCUGAAAACGCGGUUGCCUGGGCCGUCGGAGAAGAUCCGGCGGACUGCCACGGAAUGUGGAGCGCUAUUG
RNAcentral lists this non-coding RNA (159 nucleotides) under bovine gut metagenome. RNAcentral describes it as "Lysine riboswitch". It matches the Rfam family "Lysine riboswitch aptamer". Rfam says of the family: Riboswitches are metabolite binding domains within certain messenger RNAs that serve as precision sensors for their corresponding targets. Allosteric rearrangement of mRNA structure is mediated by ligand binding, and this results in modulation of gene expression. The record is from RNAcentral.